Molecule: ribosomal RNA, 406 nt
Filed under: uncultured bacterium
Lineage: Bacteria
Description: partial 16S ribosomal RNA
Rfam family: Bacterial small subunit ribosomal RNA
Source: RNAcentral
GACGAACGCUGGCGGCGUGCCUAAUACAUGCAAGUAGAACGCAGUUGAGAACGGGUGAGUAACGCGUAGGUAACUGCCUCAUAGCGCGGGAUAACGAUUGGAAACGAUAGCUAAUACCGCAUACUGUGUGAUGGAUCUCCGUUGUAUUAGCCAGUUGGUGAGGUAAAGGCUCACCAAGGCGACGAUACAUAGCCGACCUGAGAGGGUGUUCGGCCACACUGGGACUGAGACACGGUCCAGACUCCUACGGGAGGCAGCAGUGGGGAAUAUUGCGCAAUGGGCGCAAGCCUGAUGCAGCCAUGCCGCGUGUAUGAAGAAGGCCUUCGGGUUGUAAAGUACUUUCAGCGAGGAGCGUUACUCGCAGAAGAAGCACCGGCUAACUCCGUGCCAGCAGCCGCGGUAAUUC